CAUAUCAGCUAAGUCCAUCUCCCUCCUAAGUCUUCUUCCUCUAAAAUGUCAGUUUGAGUGCAGAGGACGGGGAGGUUCUGGUCCAACCUGGUAUCCAUCCAGAGGGAUGGUGACAGGCAGGCUGCUCUGCCUGGUGUGUUUCCAGCUCUGCAGGAGCCUCUGCUGGGCCUCGAUCUUCUCCUUCUCUCUCUCCACGCUCCUCUGACCCUCCUUCAGUCGCUCCAGGUUCUGCUGGUACUCCUGCAGCUGAGCCUCCAGUUCCUCGCGCUCGCACCUCAGCCUCUCUGCCUCCAGGAGGCAGCACUGCUCCCUCUCUUCCAGCCCGCUCUCCUGCUCAAGCUGCGGAACAGAUGCACAGCCAUUGCAUGACGACCACCUGUUUAACUACUUCAGCUCCUGUGGAGUGAUCCAGAAUCAAUCCUGACAGAAGUACCUGGCUGCUCUGGAGGCUGAUGGCGCUCCUUACUUGAGGCUUCUCGGCCUCCUGAAGGAGAAGUUUGUGGACCUCAGUGCAGCUGUCCUGAAGAGUCACAGCUGCCUGCACACGAGAGGAACGCCUCAGACUUCAUUUUUCGCGUCUAAAAUUGAGGUUCAAACCACUGAUUUAAACAUUACCUGGAGACUGUAGAGGAGCUGAGUCAAACUCUGGACACUCUCCACCACCUGCAGGUGAAACAUGUUAGUGCACAUUCAUGAAGGAGUCAUUUCAAAACAGGAGUAGGACCUUGUGGAGCGUGUCUUUGGCAUCUCCUCUCCUCAGUUCUGCUCCAGAGCUCCACAUCACUCCGUCCAGUCCCGUCAAAUCACCUUCAGACGCCAGAGACGUGGAGCUCACGCUGAGCGUGCUGAGAUAGUCUUCUGCGGAACAAGAUCACAUGACCUCAGCUACAGCUCGACAUCGGACCACGUUAUCUUUCUGCCACUUACGUUCUGACGGAGACUCCGGCACGCUGCUGCCAUGGCUGUUGUAGUUGCUGCUGCCAGGUCCUUGGACAGACAGAGGCAGGAUCUGCUGGGAAACCCCGUCCCGAGUCUGGAUGAGCUGGAUCAGGUUCUCGGCUGCAGAGUGUGAUGGGCUAGUGACCUGUCCAGGGUGCCCUCCUCCCUCCAUCCUUCAGCAAUCAGCUCAAAAGCCGCCUUGACUCACACCUGGACUGCACCAGCCUCACCUUCUCUGAGCGCAGCGGUCAGCAGGCUUCUGGCCUGUCGGGGAGCGUCGCCGUCACUCUCUGGCUGCACCAGGAGGUGGCGGUGUUGCACAGCUUCCGGGGAGCGCAGAGUGAGACAUGCGUCAACUUCCUUGUAGGUCAUGUGAUCAGCUUCAUCAAAUGACUUUGCAAACCUUGGAACUUGGCAAUCUUCUGGACUCUGACUUCUGCUGCUCGCUUGGCCUCUUCUGUUUCUGCUGUUUGCUCUUCCUCCUCCUCUUCCUCUGGGCAGCUGGUGAGAGGUAAGCAGGAGGCCGUGUGGAUUUCAUACAUCUCCGGUCCAACAGAGGAAGCUGAGAUGAGGAACAUCCCUCGCUCUUCGUUGGCAACUUCUCUCACAAUCAGCUUCUGUAGAGGGAUCACUGGAGGCUUCUGGUCCUGCAGGAAAACCAGUACGUCAGUGAGCAGCAGAGCCAGAGUGUCUGAAGAGGAAUGAAGAUAACAUGAGGUUUUCAGAACUUUUCAUUGCACACUGACAAUGUCCCACCAACCUUUGAGUCGUCCGGUCGCCGUCUUCCAGUAGACCAGCCCCUUGUGCUGCAGCUCCCGGCGCUCCCUCUGCAGGUCUUGUUUGCGGACCACUUUCCCAUUCUUCAGCUUGGCGAAGCUUUUGUUCUCCAGUCGCGUCAGAACCUCCUGAAGCUCUUGACUCUUCUCAUACUUGGAGACAGCCAGGUCCACUGCAGUGAUGAUGUCACGGAUCUGAGCCAGUGCACUCGACAGGUCGGCAUGUUCCUGACUGCCCUCUGAGGAGACACAAGUGAUGUGAGAAUGCUGACCUCUAUCUCAGUCUUCCACUCACACACAGUUACACGGUAGUAGGAUUCGACGCAGUAUGCAAUCUUAAGUAUAGAAGAAGAAUUCAAGUAUUUAGGUUUAUCAUCUUGGAACUGAAUCAAUUGUAUCAUGAUCAAUUGUGUGAGGUGUCGAUGUCAAAAAGACACAAACACAUUAGGAUCCAGGGUCAAACCGCCAACUACGCGGGCCACAUGCAGAUGUGGUUUGAUUCUAGACUCACCUGGAGUGUAGCGGAUUAUCCUCUCCAGCAGCACCGGGUACUUGGUGAUCCGCUGCGUGACCAACAGGAUGAACUCUGGAACUCCUCUCCGUCUGACCAGCGAGUUGUUGCUCUGUUGCUGGGGGGGGGGGACAAAUCAUCAUCAACAUCGCUCAUUAAGAUUCAAAGCCUCAAUGUGGUGGCUGCAGAAGUCGGCGUACAGCUGCUUCAUCUUCUCUGCAUUCUCAUCUGAGAACUAGAGACGAGCAUGCGCUCCUAAGAAGCUCUGGUGGAACAGCACUAGAGGGUCCAAACUGGGGAAGAUGCGUGACACAAUCUCAGCGUCCAGUUGAACUUCCUCCAGCAUUCCUCUGCGGAAGACCUCUGACAUGACGAAGUCCGGACACACGGCGAGACUCCACGACUCAGCUUCUAGUCCAAUCAGAGACAGAGAGACUUUUGGACAGAGCAGCUGAAUCUUUCCUCUCUCGGAUGAUGGCAGGAAGUGAUGUGGAGGAGGGGACAGGGGAAACCGGGCUGCUCUCCUUUUGGGAGCCUAGAGCAGCAAGAUGGGAAAUAAGAAUCUUAUUUUCCCCAGA
Synchiropus splendidus (mandarinfish) is the source of this 2804-nucleotide long non-coding RNA. RefSeq lists it as uncharacterized. The transcript is spliced from 10 exons. Lineage: Eukaryota; Metazoa; Chordata; Actinopteri; Syngnathiformes; Callionymidae. The record is from RefSeq and is a predicted model, not a curated record.